This 89-nucleotide transfer RNA is filed under the name Oryzias latipes (Japanese medaka). It matches the Rfam family "tRNA". Rfam says of the family: Transfer RNA (tRNA) molecules are approximately 80 nucleotides in length. Their secondary structure includes four short double-helical elements and three loops (D, anti-codon, and T loops). Lineage: Eukaryota; Metazoa; Chordata; Actinopteri; Beloniformes; Adrianichthyidae. The record is from Rfam by way of RNAcentral.
GGCUCCGUGGCGCAAUGGAUAGCGCAUUGGACUUCUAGGUUAAAAGCAUAGCAAUUCAAAGGUUGUGGGUUCGAGUCCCACCGGAGUCG